RNAcentral lists this transfer RNA (66 nucleotides) under Gargara sp. 16071360. Its description in RNAcentral is "tRNA-Ser". The record is from RNAcentral. Lineage: Eukaryota; Metazoa; Arthropoda; Insecta; Hemiptera; Membracidae.
UAGAGUAGAUGUAUAAGAGUAGCUGCUAACUAACUUUUAAUGCGGUUAAAUUCCGUUAUACUCUUA